AGCAUCCGCGGUAAUUCCAGCUCCAAUAGCGUAUAUUAAAGUUGUUGCAGUUAAAAAGCUCGUAGUUGAAUUUCGGGGUCAGUAGGUCGGUCGUGCCACUGGUAUGAACUGGUUUUACUGAUUCCUCCCUCUUGAAGAACUGUAAUGCCAUUAAUUUGGUGUUGCAGGGAAUCAGGACUGUUACUUUGAAAAAAUUAGAGUGUUUAAAGCAGGCUUUAGCUUGAAUACAUUAGCAUGGAAUAAUGAAAUAGGACGUUUGAUCCUAUUUUGUUGGUUUCUAGGAUUGACGUAAUGAUUAAUAGGGAUAGUUGGGGGCAUUAGUAUUCAAUUGUCAGAGGUGAAAUUCUUGGAUUUAUUGAAGACUAACUACUGCGAAAGCAUUUGCCAAGGAUGUUUUCAUUAAUCAAGAACGAAAGUUAGGGGAUCGAAGACGAUCAGAUACCGUACGUAGUCUUAACCAUAAACUAUGCCGACUAGGGAUCGGAUGAUGUUAAUUUUUUAAUGACUCA
RNAcentral lists this ribosomal RNA (509 nucleotides) under Glomus sp. Glo3. Its description in RNAcentral is "SSU rRNA". It matches the Rfam family "Eukaryotic small subunit ribosomal RNA", at positions 569 to 1078 of the family's 1831-position model. Lineage: Eukaryota; Fungi; Glomeromycota; Glomeromycetes; Glomerales; Glomeraceae. The record is from RNAcentral.